CUACAGCUAGAUCCAUACCCCUAAACUCCCUAAUUUUUUGGAUAGCAUCUUGGAUGCUAUCCGCUUUUU
Small RNA from Bacillus sp. B-jedd, 69 nucleotides. It matches the Rfam family "Listeria sRNA sbrA". Lineage: Bacteria; Bacillati; Bacillota; Bacilli; Caryophanales; Bacillaceae. The record is from Rfam.